Molecule: ribosomal RNA, 465 nt
Filed under: Vreelandella stevensii
Lineage: Bacteria; Pseudomonadati; Pseudomonadota; Gammaproteobacteria; Oceanospirillales; Halomonadaceae
Description: partial 16S ribosomal RNA
Rfam family: Bacterial small subunit ribosomal RNA
Source: RNAcentral
CCUACGGGGGGCAGCAGUGGGGAAUAUUGGACAAUGGGGGCAACCCUGAUCCAGCCAUGCCGCGUGUGUGAAGAAGGCCCUCGGGUUGUAAAGCACUUUCAGUGAGGAAGAACGCCUGGUGGUUAAUACCCAUCAGGAAAGACAUCACUCACAGAAGAAGCACCGGCUAACUCCGUGCCAGCAGCCGCGGUAAUACGGAGGGUGCGAGCGUUAAUCGGAAUUACUGGGCGUAAAGCGCGCGUAGGUGGCUUGAUAAGCUGGUUGUGAAAGCCCCGGGCUCAACCUGGGAACGGCAUCCGGAACUGUCAAGCUAGAGUGCAGGAGAGGAAGGUAGAAUUCCCGGUGUAGCGGUGAAAUGCGUAGAGAUCGGGAGGAAUACCAGUGGCGAAGGCGGCCUUCUGGACUGACACUGACACUGAGGUGCGAAAGCGUGGGUAGCAAACAGGAUUAGAUACCCUGGUAGUC